UCGUAACAAGGUUUCCGUAGGUGAACCUGCGGAAGGAUCAUUAAAAUAAUACUUACACUUUGCAUUUGCGAACAAAAAAAUAAAUCUUUUAUUCGAAUUUCUUAAUAUCAAAACUUUCAACAACGGAUCUCUUGGUUCUCGCAUCGAUGAAGAACGCAGCGAAUUGCGAUACGUAGUAUGACUUGCAGACGUGAAUCAUCGAAUCUUUGAACGCACAUUGCGCCUCGAGGCAUUCCUCGAGGCAUGCCUGUUUGAGCGUCGCAUCCCCUCUAACCCCCGGUUAGGCGUUGCUCCGAAAUAUCAACCGCGCUGUCAAACACGUUUACAGCACGACAUUUCGCCCUCAAAUCAGGUAGGACUACCCGCUGAACUUAAGCAUAUCAAUAA
RNAcentral lists this unclassified non-coding RNA (387 nucleotides) under Clavispora lusitaniae. RNAcentral's name for it is "sequence contains 18S rRNA gene, ITS1, 5.8S rRNA gene, ITS2, 28S rRNA gene". The stretch from base 112 to 261 matches the Rfam family "5.8S ribosomal RNA". Lineage: Eukaryota; Fungi; Ascomycota; Pichiomycetes; Serinales; Metschnikowiaceae. The record is from RNAcentral.